AGGGAAUAUUGCGCAAUGGGCGAAAGCCUGACGCAGCGACGCCGCGUGAGUGAUGAAGGCCUUCGGGUUGUAAAGCUCUGUUCUUAGGGAAAAACAAAUGAUGGUACCUGAGAAGAAAGGACCGGCUAACUUCGUGCCAGCAGCCGCGGUAAGACGAGGGGUCCAAGCGUUGCUCGGAAUUAUUGGGCGUAAAGCGGAUGUAGGUGGCUUUGUAAGUCAGGAGUGAAAUCCCUGAGCUCAACUCAGGAAGUGCUUCUGAUACUGCUUAGCUUGAGUGUGGGAGAGGAUGGUAGAAUUCCUGGUGUAGUGGUGAAAUACGUAGAUAUCAGGAGGAACACCGGUGGGGAAGCCGGCUAUCUGGCCCAACACUGACACUGAGAUCCGAAAGCGUGGGGAUCAAAC
RNAcentral lists this ribosomal RNA (402 nucleotides) under uncultured bacterium. Its description in RNAcentral is "bacterial SSU rRNA". It matches the Rfam family "Bacterial small subunit ribosomal RNA", at positions 356 to 773 of the family's 1533-position model. The record is from RNAcentral.